Dromaius novaehollandiae (emu) is the source of this 755-nucleotide long non-coding RNA. NCBI's taxonomy places the organism in Eukaryota, Metazoa, Chordata, Aves, Casuariiformes, Dromaiidae. The record is from Ensembl.
AAUCUUGAAGAAUUUUGGAUAGAUUUUAACAUUGGUAGUAGAAGUAUAUCUUUCUAUGUGUCAGCAGUUGAUGCUAAAAAGAUUCAAAGAAAUUAUUAACAAUAAGUCUCAAAAGCCCGAUGAGUGUGGGAGAUCAAGGAGGAGAGAAAUUUUUUUUAUAUUUUGAUUCAAUCUUGGAAAUCAAAGAUGUAACCAGAAAGAUUUAUGGAGUACAUAAAUGUAAGGUUCUGGUACCAGAAAGUCAGUUGUCACCAGGUUUGGAGGAAAAAGGUGAAGUGGAAGAGAAAUUCAGGGAGUCCAAAAACCAGCAACUUCCUGGAWCCCUGAGGACUCUGAAUAAAAAGCACACUGAAGACAUGUGCAAAGAUGCUUCCUCCAAGAUAAUCACGUCUUGUAAAAGGAAAGUGUCUGAAGCAUCAGUGGUUAUUCCUGGAACUACAAGACUUUCUACAAGGAGUCCACUGGAAUUUUUURGUACAUGUAAGUUGACGAGUACUUUCAGGGUAAAAGUAUGCUAUAAAUAGUCUUUGAAAAUGCAUUGUUAAUUAGUUUCUACAUGAGAUAAUAUGUACUGUUAGGUGACAUCUAUGCAAAUGGCUGAUGGAGAUGAACAUAAUACAAGCAUGAAUUGUAAUCCAUUGCAGACCUGGAACGAAGGGGAGAACAGAACUCAGAAUCUCCCCAGCAGAUGCUUUAGUCUUGACAUUUUUCAACUAGUCUACUUGCUACCUUUCCAUAACAUGAUGCAGAAUAGC